CCGAAGCGCGGUCCGGCCGAGUUCAAAAUACUGCAAAUCGCCGUCACCGCCAUGUUGGCAUUGUGGAGAACCGACACGAGUAAAGUCACAAUAAUUUGCGUUGCAGUACAAAACCAACGAGGGCGACGGGCGUAACAGAAGACGCCGGAGAGGACGUGAAUGAGACGCCGCGAACAGGAAGAUGGACAUUGUUGAGCUCGAGGUCUCUACUGCCCUGCCAGCACUUUCGGAUCAGGAAGUCUCCACAGUUCUUGCAAAAUUAAAAGAAAUCGGUGUUCAAACAGGGGAAGAUUUGAGGUUCUUAGAAGAGCCAGACCUUCGUGGGGUGCUGAAACCAAUACAGAUUAGGAGAUUCCUCUCCACAGUAAAGAGAGGUGAUGGCUCUGUUCCUGAGUCAGGUUCCUCUUUUAGCACGACACCACCUUGCACAUCUCCUUUGCAAGUCCCCUCAGUGCCGGACACCCAACAACAUCAGUGUGAAAGCAAAGCUUCGAACGUGGACCCCAACUGGCCAGUAAACUUCCAAGUUUGUUGGGAAAGCAUGCCACCACAACUAAUAUCCGCAGUGAAGAAAAAGGAGCGCCCGUCUAGCAGGCUGCGUCGUGAAAUGGUCCGUCUGGUAGUUGACCAAGCCAGAACCAUG
This is a long non-coding RNA of Ornithodoros turicata, 643 nucleotides long. RefSeq lists it as uncharacterized. The record is from RefSeq and is a predicted model, not a curated record. Lineage: Eukaryota; Metazoa; Arthropoda; Arachnida; Ixodida; Argasidae. The transcript is spliced from 4 exons.